UGCCAGCCGCCGCGGUAAUACGGAGGGUGCAAGCGUUGUUCGGAAUUAUUGGGCGUAAAGCGCGUGUAGGCGGCUUUUUAAGUCAGUGGUGAAAUCCUGCAGCUUAACUGCAGAACUGCCAUUGAUACUGGAGAGCUUGAGUAUUGUUAAGGUAGGCGGAAUUGAUGGUGUAGCGGUGAAAUGCAUAGAUACCAUCAGGAACACCGAUUGCGAAGGCAGCUUACUGGGCAAUAACUGACGCUAAGGUACGAAAGCGUGGGGAGCGAACAGGAUUAGAUA
Molecule: ribosomal RNA, 279 nt
Filed under: uncultured bacterium
Lineage: Bacteria
Description: partial 16S ribosomal RNA
Rfam family: Bacterial small subunit ribosomal RNA
Source: RNAcentral